UAUAUUUAUCAUAAAUUUAGAUUAUUUAAAAUAUUCAAAUAAUUUUAUAAUAAGAUAGAGAAAUGAAUUGAAAAGAGUAUUGAAAUUCUUCGGUCAGACCAAGGAGGAGAAUAUCCUUCCGAUGAGUUUUUGACAUAUCUAGAAGAGAAUAAGGAUUCUCUCUUAUUGGAAUCGACUUUGUUAGAUAUAGUUCGAUUCAUGAUGAAGUUUAUAAGUCUGCCAGUCUCCUCUUAAGGUUAUGCUC
This 244-nucleotide long non-coding RNA is filed under the name Elaeis guineensis (African oil palm). Its description in RNAcentral is "long non-coding RNA (EGUI_LNC036826)". Lineage: Eukaryota; Viridiplantae; Streptophyta; Magnoliopsida; Arecales; Arecaceae. The record is from RNAcentral.